GCUUACGGCCACACCUCCCUGAGCACGCCCGAUCUCCUCUGAUCUCGGAAGCUAAGCAGGGUCGGGCCUGGUUAGUACUUGGAUGGGAGACCGCCUGGGAAUACCAGGUGCUAUAAGCC
RNAcentral lists this ribosomal RNA (119 nucleotides) under Esox lucius (northern pike). Lineage: Eukaryota; Metazoa; Chordata; Actinopteri; Esociformes; Esocidae. The record is from RNAcentral.